RNAcentral lists this ribosomal RNA (253 nucleotides) under uncultured bacterium. Its description in RNAcentral is "partial 16S ribosomal RNA". It matches the Rfam family "Bacterial small subunit ribosomal RNA", at positions 524 to 776 of the family's 1533-position model. The record is from RNAcentral.
UACGUAGGGGGCGAGCGUUGUCCGGAGUUACUGGGCGUAAAGCGCUUGUAGGCGGUCCACCAAGUUUGGGGUGACAGUUGCCGACUUAAUCGGCAAAGUGCCUCAAAGACUGGUGGACUUGAGGGCCACAGAGGGACAUGGAACUCCAGGUGUAGUGGUGAAAUGCGUAGAUAUCUGGAAGAACACCAAAGGCGAAGGCAGUGUCCUGGGUGGUCGCUGACGCUGAGAGGCGAAAGCCAGGGGAGCGAACGGG